UUUUUAAUAAAAAAAUAUUGUAGGAAUACAUUGCAAUUUCAUAUCUUCACAUAGAAUAACAGAUGAUUUUGAUAUUGUGUUGGAAUAGCAUAUGCAUCGUAAGAAAAGUCAAGUUGAAGCUGCGGGAAAGUUGGAGUUGAUAAUGUACCUCGAAUUUGAUGUAUUCGAGUUUGAGACAUUAGAUGAUGUAGAGACAAAAAAAUUUAACAUACUUUAUUGGUGGUCUGUUAAUCAAACUAAGUUUCUAGUCUUGUCACGUAUGACAACUGAUAUUCUUGCAGUUUUGAUCUCUACUAUCGUUUUAGAAAGUGCUUUUAAUGUUGAAGGUAGAGUGAUUGUAAACAUGUUUAUAUGUGAAGGUGAUUUGUUUCGAGCCAAAUAUCGAGUAAAAAAACCAAUACAGGGCUGAUUGAGGUUUGACAAGUGGCAUGAAAGUUAUGGAAUCAUGACAUGGAAUAUGGUUGAUUUAGGUUUGAGAGGAGGCAACUUCAUGUUGGUCAUUUGUUCAUGUUUAAGCAAUCUGUAAACAUGUUAAAAUUAUAUAAUUAAUGUGUAAUGUAAACUACUUUAUUUUGUAUUCAUGUCUUUCAAAUCAAAUAUUAAGGAGAAAUCUAAACUUAUGAUGAAUGAUGAUAAUAGGAUGCAAUAUAUAUUUUGGAUUAAUAAUAUUCUUUAUAUAUGUAUUUUAACUUUU
This is a long non-coding RNA of Mangifera indica (mango), 694 nucleotides long. RefSeq lists it as uncharacterized. NCBI's taxonomy places the organism in Eukaryota, Viridiplantae, Streptophyta, Magnoliopsida, Sapindales, Anacardiaceae. The record is from RefSeq and is a predicted model, not a curated record. The transcript has 2 exons.